GAUGAAGAACGUAGCGAAAUGCGAUAAGUAGUGUGAAUUGCAGAAUUCAGUGAAUCAUCGAAUCUUUGAACGCACAUUGCGCCCCUCGGUAUUCCGUGGGGCAUGCCUGUUCGAGCGUCAUUUAACCCCUCAAGCCUAGCUUGGUAUUGGGUGCUUGUCCCGCCUCUCGCGCGGCGACUCACCUCAAAGUCAUUGGCAGCCCGCAUCUCGCCGGCCGUGAGCGCAGCACAGACGCGCUCUUGGCAACGACGGAUCGGCUCUCCAAAAGCUUAUUUCAACCACUGACCUCGGAUUAGGUAGGGAUACCCGCUGAACUUAAGCAUACAAUAAGCGGAGGA
RNAcentral lists this unclassified non-coding RNA (338 nucleotides) under soil metagenome. RNAcentral's name for it is "partial contains 5.8S ribosomal RNA, internal transcribed spacer 2, and large subunit ribosomal RNA". The stretch from base 1 to 120 matches the Rfam family "5.8S ribosomal RNA", at positions 35 to 154 of the family's 154-position model. The record is from RNAcentral.